This 253-nucleotide ribosomal RNA is filed under the name uncultured bacterium. RNAcentral's name for it is "partial 16S ribosomal RNA". It matches the Rfam family "Bacterial small subunit ribosomal RNA", at positions 524 to 776 of the family's 1533-position model. The record is from RNAcentral.
GACGAACCGUGCAAACGUUAUUCGGAAUCACUGGGCAUAAAGGGCGCGUAGGCGGAAUGGCAAGUCGGUCGUGAAAUCCUUCGGCUCAACCGAAGAACGUCGAUCGAAACUGCCGUUCUUGAGGAUUGCAGAGGAGACUGGAAUUCCCGGUGUAGCGGUGAAAUGUGUAGAGAUCGGGAGGAACACCGGUGGCGAAAGCGACGUGCUGGCCCUCUUCUGACGCUGAGGCGCGAAAGCGUGGGGAGCAAACAGG